GCUUCUGGGUUGCCAAGGGAACUGGCUUGGAUUGUCCAGUUACAUCUUGUCUUCAGAAUAUUCGGUUAAUAUGGACUUAUUGUGAAGUCAACGAGAAGCAGAAAUAUUAGACUGAACAAGAAACUGUCUAUCUGUAACAUGUAGAGGGGCCAUCCGUAGUAUUCUGAUAACUUCCAACUCCAGCAGUAGCAGAAACAUCAGCAUCACAUCCUGGAUGAAGACACUAAUAAGAAGAGGAAAUGGCAAACAAGCAUCACCAAAACUAAAUAAGAACAGCGCUACCAUCACAUCCGUGGAAUAUUCUGGUAAAGAUAGUGUCAGAAAUAAUACAUGCUGUGCAGAGAUGUUACAAUAGAUGGAGUCUCAGGAUCACACAGAUGUUGGUCAGAUCUUGUAUCCAAAA
Molecule: long non-coding RNA, 403 nt
Organism: Schistocerca nitens (vagrant locust)
Lineage: Eukaryota; Metazoa; Arthropoda; Insecta; Orthoptera; Acrididae
Exons: 2
Source: RefSeq, a predicted model, not a curated record